GCGGGCUUAUAGGUCCAGAAGA
RNAcentral lists this microRNA (22 nucleotides) under Eisenia fetida (common brandling worm). RNAcentral describes it as "Efe-Mir-193-P1n_5p* (star (passenger))". The record is from RNAcentral. Lineage: Eukaryota; Metazoa; Annelida; Clitellata; Crassiclitellata; Lumbricidae.